CCCUUAGAUGUUCUGGGCCGCACGCGUGCUACACUGAGUGGAUCAGCGGGUCAGGUUCCGCGAAAGCGUUUCCUAAUCUUUAAAUCCGCUCGUGAUGGGGAUUGACGGUUGCAAUUUUCUGUCAUGAACGAGGAAUACCUUGUAAGCGCGGGUCAUCAUCCCGCGCUGAAUACGUCCCUGCCCUUUGUACACACCGCCCGUCGCUCCUACCGAUUGAGUGGUCCGGUGAGGCUUUGGGAUCUGAGCGGAAAGAGCGUUUCGCUGUUUCUGCUCGGAAAACUCAGUCGAACCUUAUCAUUUAGAGGAAGGAGAAGUCGUAACA
Molecule: ribosomal RNA, 322 nt
Filed under: uncultured eukaryote
Lineage: Eukaryota
Description: partial 18S ribosomal RNA
Rfam family: Eukaryotic small subunit ribosomal RNA
Source: RNAcentral